RNAcentral lists this ribosomal RNA (254 nucleotides) under uncultured bacterium. Its description in RNAcentral is "partial 16S ribosomal RNA". It matches the Rfam family "Bacterial small subunit ribosomal RNA", at positions 524 to 776 of the family's 1533-position model. The record is from RNAcentral.
UACGGGGGGGGCAAGCGUUGUUCGGAAUUACUGGGCGUAAAGGGCUCGUAGGCGGCCAACUAAGUCAUACGUGAAAUCCCUCGGCUUAACCGGGGAACUGCGUCUGAUACUGGAUGGCUUGAGUUCGGGAGAGGGAUGCGGAAUUCCAGGUGUAGCGGUGAAAUGCGUAGAUAUCUGGAGGAACACCGGUGGCGAAGGCGGCAUCCUGGACCGAUACUGACGCUGAGGCGCGAAAAGCGUGGGGAGCAAACAGG